AGGGAGAAUGUGUGUCUGUGAGUGUGUGUUGAGUGUGAGUGUGUCUCUGUGUGUGUAGGGGUCGAGGUGGGGGGGGUCCGUGUUUGCGAUCUGAACCUUUGGUACCUACAAGGAGGGUGUCUCACCGAACGGUAGCUAAAACCUCACCAGAACCGCGCGGAAGUGAGAAGUCGCGGCCAAAGGCGCCCGCAGAAGCCUCCUCUCUGGGCCGGACCCCAGCCCGAGCGGCCGAAAGGAGCCCCCCGCCCGGAUCACAGAAGUUUACAAGGAAAGGGGAAAUGUCUGAAAUGGAGAUUGCACAAUCCUGUCUUGAAGCAGAAGACUCAGCUAGAGCACAUCUGGAAACACCUGGCACUCCUCAAUAGAAUUCAAAUGCUAUUUUAAAAGAGUCCAUUUCUAAGAAGAUGUGGUUCGAACAUACAGAGCUACAUAAUAUGAGUAAAAUAGGACCUAACAGUAGUGUUCUCCAGCAUUGCUCUGCCUUUCCUUUUCUGGAUGUAACAACAUUACUAAGAAAGGAAGAAAAAGCAAAAAUCUGCUCUCGGGGAGAUUCCAGAAUGUUGGAAAGCCCCAAAUGGAAGUCUCUGCUUUGGUUACAGGACAUAAGGUUUAAUAAAUAAAAAGAUGCUCAUCUGGGAUGCUGCACCAAUUAUCAUGUACUAAAUAAGGUUACCUACUUCACUCUCCAGGUAGAAAUGUCUAUCAUAAGCAUGUGCCACAGAAGGUCUCUCAAGUAUCAUUAUUGGCUGUGUUGAAUUUUGUUUUUAGUUCUCUUUUAUAAGGUCUGUAGUCUUACUUUCAGUGAGGAAGUGUUUUCUCAGGUUCUCAAGAAAGUAACAAAAUGCCAGCAUUGUCAAGGUCACCAUUGCCACUGAAUUAUCUUACUGUCUGAUUAUUCCAUCUUCCUCUGCAUCAUAUUAGCCUGAUGACUACAUUCUAAUUAUUUAAAGCGUUAUGUAAAUCAAAGCAGUAAAUGUAAUUUCUAGUCUUACUAGAUAUCAUGUACAUUAGGUCGAAUAACUCUAGAAAUGUCGUCAUAAUCAUGUCAUGCCUAAUGAUGACCUACUCAGCCCCUGCCAACAUCAUUCAAUUACUCAUUUCAGUAUUGAUUUUUCUCAUGCCUCUCUUCGUGGCAUUUAAACAGCCCUCACAUCUCCCCUUUUACUGAGGUGUAAUGUUGUAUAAUGACAGAGAUGCUUUGCUUCCCAGAUUCAUAAUGUUACACUCUGUUUCAAAUCCUUUUGGAGACAAAUUGGGGAAUCAAUAUAUAAAUAAUGACACACUUAUUUUUAAUUAAAAUCACUGCUUUCACAGAAAUGGUAUAUUAAAAUUAUUUUUGCUAAAAAAAUUUUAAAUACCUAUGUACGAUAAAAAGACUGCCAAUCCUUGGGAUCAAGAAUAUAAUUUGCCCCAAAUAACUUUUCUGUAAAAGUAGAAUUCUUAAUGGAAAAUAGAUUAAUACAUAUAAUUUCA
Molecule: long non-coding RNA, 1473 nt
Filed under: Homo sapiens (human)
Lineage: Eukaryota; Metazoa; Chordata; Mammalia; Primates; Hominidae
Description: HSALNT0347849
Source: RNAcentral